UACAGAGGUCUCAAGCGUUGUUCGGAUUCAUUGGGCGUAAAGGGUGUGUAGGUGGCGCCGUAAGUCGGGUGUGAAAUUUCGGAGCUUAACUCCGAAACUGCAUUCGAUACUGCGGUGCUUGAGGACUGGAGAGGAGACUGGAAUUCAUGGUGUAGCAGUGAAAUGCGUAGAGAUCAGGAGGAAUACCGAUGGCGAAGGCAGGUCUCUGGGCUGACACUGACGCUCAUGCACGAAAGCGUGGGGAGCAAACAGG
This 253-nucleotide ribosomal RNA is filed under the name uncultured bacterium. RNAcentral describes it as "partial 16S ribosomal RNA". It matches the Rfam family "Bacterial small subunit ribosomal RNA", at positions 524 to 776 of the family's 1533-position model. The record is from RNAcentral.